CAAACUGUCAAUCAAAUUAGGGAAAAACAACGAUGAAGACGUGCAGAAACAAAAAAACGAUCAAUUUUCUAAUCGAUUAAUCGUCAGUAAAAUGUCAUCUUGUCAUUUUGAGUUUGAUGGAAAGAUGAUUGUUCAACUAACCGUCCAGAAACUCAAAGAUAAACAUUUAUCAGUGUUCUGUACUUUUGUAUCUGGUGGAUGUGCAGUUAUAUUUUAAUUAUCACAUUAAAACGGCACACGUCGCUCUUCAGGUGCAAAUGUUUAAAAAUGAACGAAAUCCAAACUGAAGUUACGAGAGAAAUAUGAAGAAUACAUGAAAACGGAUUCAAACAGCUCGUUUUACAAAUCUGAAUGUUCCUUAAAAUGAAUUCAAACCUGUGAACGGAGUUUUGUUUCAUGUCACUGAAAUAAAAGUUUGAAGACGCUGUAACUGUAGUUUGAAUUUGAACUAUCGGAGCGCGCUUCAUUCAUCCGGUUACAAGAAUUCACGACAUCGUUUAGUUUUUUAAAAAUAUCAAAAACGCCACAAAACUAUUUCCUGUCAGACAUUCAUCAUUGUAAAACUAUUGUUACAUUUACAAACAGUAAAAAGUUUCUCAAUAUUAAUAAUAAUUAUACAGCCAUUUGAAAAAGACAAAGGUUCAACCGUUGGUGGAACAUUUAUCGAUUUGUUUAACGUGGAUCUAAAUAUGAACAAACAUGUUUCAUGUACGUUAUUUAAACGUUCUGAAAAUGUUCCACCAAAGUUAAAAAUGAUCUCAGAAACAAACAAACAUCGAUUGUCGUACCUAAACGUGAAGCAUUACCACUAACCUGCACUCAAAGUUUGUGACACUCAGAAGAACUUUAUAUAUUAAUUUCAGUAAUAAGACGUCUAAAAAUACUGUCAGCUUCAUCAUCGCGUACCCGACUCUGAGAAGCAGCGAGGCCAAGUCGUCUGUCAUCGUGUGCGUCUAACGAAGCGUUCUGUCUGAACGCAUGUAAAUAUUCCACACUGAAGUUAAAGUCAGCUCAUGUUUACAUUCAAACAUAUUUAAACCUACGGCCGACACAAUAUUUUUAUCUUCAACGACCAUGACAUGGCAGAUUAAAGGGCCGCGCUGUGAAAUCUGAUGAUUAAUUAAUUAGUGAUUUCUACAACCAACAAUCAAAGGAGAUUUACUGUAACGAGAAAAGUGAAUUCUGUUGUUUUCACUGAUCAAUGUGAAACGUGUUCAUGUCAGCGUGGUG
Molecule: long non-coding RNA, 1230 nt
Organism: Larimichthys crocea (large yellow croaker)
Lineage: Eukaryota; Metazoa; Chordata; Actinopteri; Sciaenidae
Exons: 3
Source: RefSeq, a predicted model, not a curated record